RNAcentral lists this unclassified non-coding RNA (22 nucleotides) under Mus musculus (house mouse). Its description in RNAcentral is "oocyte_clustered_small_RNA14330". Lineage: Eukaryota; Metazoa; Chordata; Mammalia; Rodentia; Muridae. The record is from RNAcentral.
UGGCCAAGAGUGACAGGACACC